RNAcentral lists this long non-coding RNA (1105 nucleotides) under Astyanax mexicanus (Mexican tetra). RNAcentral's name for it is "lncRNA (ENSAMXG00005000840.1)". The record is from RNAcentral. Lineage: Eukaryota; Metazoa; Chordata; Actinopteri; Characiformes; Acestrorhamphidae.
UUUGGGAGCACUUUAUUUCAUUCUGACCUCACUAAGUUAACAUUUGAUCAAUAUAUGGUAAAAUAUAUAAAUUCUGUAAAUAUUUCUCAUUUUAAAUAUUUUAAGCAGGGGUGGUAUAUUUUAUUAUUACAGAGCAACAUAUUUCAGAUGUGAAAAAUGAUAAUAACGUCUGGUAUGUGUAAGAGAUAUAAAGUAUUUACAGCAUAUGUUACUAAUUGAUUACAGGUAGUAGUUCAUUAAAGGUAGAUUAUGUCUUAUUUAAAAUCACUUAUAUUAUAUAUAUCACUUAUUUAAUAAUUGAUUUGCUCCUCAGCUAAAAUUCAAUUGAAUAGUACAGUUUAAAAUUACUGAAUGUGAUUCAUUUAGAUAAAUAAAUAACAGAGCAUGUAAUUAACUAUUUUUUAAUCGCCUGACAGCAUUAGGCCUAAAAUAUGGCAAAAAUCUGGCAAAAAAUGUAAAAAAAAAACAAACAAACAAACAAAAAAACCCGAAAUUAACUAACUAACUAAAUAAAUAAAUAAUUAAAACGGAUUUCAUAGGUCUUGGCAAGUCUGUUUAUUUAAUUCCUCCCGCCUUGUGUUGCUAAGCAACCGUUUGGUUUAAAAUGUUUAGAUAUGAAUGUUUGAAGCUCAGAUUGGACUGAGAAGUUCAAGGCUGAACACGAGCGACUUGGAUCUGCGUUUUAUACUCAACUUAUUUUACAAAUUUUUACUCAUUUUCACUCAUUUUUACUCAUUCUCACUCAUUUUUACUUAUUCUCACUACAUUUCACUUAUUUUACACAUUCUUACACAUUUUAAAACAUUUCUCACUAAAUUUCUCACUCAUUUACAUUCUCACACAUUUUUACUAUUUAUUUACACAUUUCUCACUAGAUUUUACACAUUUCUCACACAUUACUUCACUCAUUUCUAUCAGGGAUUUCUCGCCAUGUCUUGUCCAGUUUUUUUUUUCAGGGCCGGAGCUGCUGGACUACCUGGCUGGAGGAGCACCACCCCUUUUUCCCCAGACCAACCGGUCGUGUCGUUUUUCACGUGCCCGGAUCGGCUCCAACAGUGGCCUUUGUGUUCCUCUGCCCAUCCUUUCCCGUGCAUGGACCGGGGGG